AGCUCCAAUAGCGUAUAUUAAAGUUGUUGCGGCUAAAAAGCUCGUAGUUGGAUUUCUGUCGAGAACGUCCGGUCCGCUUUUUGAGCGUGUAUCUGGUUCGGUCUUGGCAUCUUCCAGGGGAACGUUGCUGCGCUUGAUUGCGUGGUGCGGGUUUCUGGACUUUUACUUUGAGGAAAUUAGAGUGUUUACAGCAGGCAAACGCCGUGAAUAUGUUAGCAUGGAAUAAUAAUAUAGGACUCUCGGCCUAUUUUGUUGGUUUCUAGGACGAGGGUAAUGAUUAAUAGGGAUAAUUGGGGGCAUUCGUAUUAACUAGUCAGAGGUGAAAUUCUUGGAUUUAGUUACGACGAACUACUGCGAAAGCAUUUGCCAAGGAUGUUUUCA
Molecule: ribosomal RNA, 381 nt
Filed under: uncultured eukaryote
Lineage: Eukaryota
Description: SSU rRNA
Rfam family: Eukaryotic small subunit ribosomal RNA
Source: RNAcentral